CCUUCCCUCAGCCGCAGAUGCGGUAUUACCGUCCCUCCUCUUUCCCAUCACUCAUUGGUUCAAAUACUCCGGUGGCGUCUCCAUACUAAACGUCAUUUUAUGAAAAAUGCCCCACUUUGUGCUGACACCUCCUCAGUGUUUCAAUUUGGGACGCGCUUCUGCUGCGGUGCAGUGAUCGUUUCAAACGUGCAGGCUAAAAUAAAAACCCGUUCACUUAUAAAGGGAGCUGAGCACAUUCUGACGGAAACAGUGCCUACAGCAGCUUCUCCGAACUCUGGACGUAGCAGCCUCAUGUACUUCUGAUCUGGUUACUCUGACAAGCUUCCAAACCCAAGCGAUACAAUGCAGGUUUUCAUGUGCAGGUGAAAGGCCAACAUUGUGCCAACCGGGAGUUGGAUAACAUUUCGAAACCAGUCUCACACCAAGUCCACCAGGCAGGUACCAAAACAGCACCGGCAACCUGAGGCCAGCAGUGUCACUCCGAGACACUCUUCACCCAAACCUACAGCUAUCCCCUACCAAUUAUUUGGAACAACUUCCAACAUCAUUAUCACAGAAACAUCAGUCAGGGGCGAGAUACAAUGUUUGCAAGCCUUAAUCGCGUUUCUUUUUUCUUGAAGCAUGUUAUUCUUCAAGGUUUCAACAGCUAAUGAAAUGAGAUAAUUGUUGACAUGUUAGAUAUACAAUUACCACAAAGGGUAAACCUUGUACAAUAAAGAUCAAUUCAACCUCACACUGAAA
Chiloscyllium plagiosum (whitespotted bambooshark) is the source of this 741-nucleotide non-coding RNA. The record is from RefSeq and is a predicted model, not a curated record. Lineage: Eukaryota; Metazoa; Chordata; Chondrichthyes; Orectolobiformes; Hemiscylliidae.